RNAcentral lists this long non-coding RNA (262 nucleotides) under Mytilus galloprovincialis (Mediterranean mussel). The record is from RNAcentral. Lineage: Eukaryota; Metazoa; Mollusca; Bivalvia; Mytilida; Mytilidae.
GUUUUGCUCAUGUGCAUUAAAAAUAAUAAUUCAUGAUUUUCUUAAAACAUGUAAAUGUUUUUGUCUGUUUUUUUGUGCAUAUGAUAUCUACUGACCAGGGGUCAAAUCAUUGGAUAAAAGCACAUGCGAUGAAGAAUCUCACAUUACUCGUAUGAAGUGUGUUAUCUCCCUUGAUUAUCAGGUAUUCCUGUAGACCAGAGUGAUAUUACAUAAAAAAGACUAUAUUGUGUCAUGUUUACUUACAAUUUAAUAAUAUUAAAAA